GACAUAACGUUAUCUGGGUUAUG
RNAcentral lists this small nuclear RNA (23 nucleotides) under Arabidopsis thaliana (thale cress). Its description in RNAcentral is "snRNA_02217". Lineage: Eukaryota; Viridiplantae; Streptophyta; Magnoliopsida; Brassicales; Brassicaceae. The record is from RNAcentral.